ACGACGCUGGCGGCGUGCCUAACACAUGCAAGUCAAGGAGAAUUCCGACUUGUCGGGAUAGUAAACUGGCGAACGGGUGAGUAACACGUAGGUAAUCUACCCUCGGGAUCGGGAUAACCUCGCGAAAGUGGGGAUAAUACCGAAUAAAGUCUUGGUAUAAUUUGUCGAGAUGAAAGAUGGGGAUCUUCGGACCUAUUACCUGAGGAUGAGCCUGCGCCUGAUUAGCUAGUUGGUAGGGUAAAUGCCUACCAAGGCAACGAUCAGUAGCUGGUCUGAGAGGAUGAUCAGCCACAUUGGGACUGAGAUACGGCCCAGACUCCUACGGGAGGCAGCAGUGAGGAAUUUUGCGCAAUGGGCGAAAGCCUGACGCAGCAACGCCGCGUGACUGAUUAAGCUCUGAGGAGUGUAAAAGUCUGUCGUAGAGGAAGAAACUAUCCGAUAAGAAUAUUGUCGGAUACUGACGGUACUCUAUGAGAAAGCUCCGGCUAACUCCGUG
RNAcentral lists this ribosomal RNA (496 nucleotides) under uncultured bacterium. RNAcentral describes it as "bacterial SSU rRNA". It matches the Rfam family "Bacterial small subunit ribosomal RNA", at positions 32 to 507 of the family's 1533-position model. The record is from RNAcentral.